RNAcentral lists this ribosomal RNA (91 nucleotides) under Thalassomonas sp. M1454. Its description in RNAcentral is "partial 16S ribosomal RNA". It matches the Rfam family "Bacterial small subunit ribosomal RNA", at positions 1449 to 1533 of the family's 1533-position model. The record is from RNAcentral. Lineage: Bacteria; Pseudomonadati; Pseudomonadota; Gammaproteobacteria; Alteromonadales; Colwelliaceae.
GACGGUUACCACUUUGUGAUUCAUGACUGGGGUGAAGUCGUAACAAGGUAACCCUAGGGGAACCUGGGGUUGGAUCACCUCCUUACCUUAA